AAUGGCCUACGGGGGGCAGCAGUAGGGAAUCUUCCACAAUGGACGAAAGUCUGAUGGAGCAACGCCGCGUGAGUGAAGAAGGGUUUCGGCUCGUAAAGCUCUGUUGGUAGUGAAGAAAGAUAGAGGUAGUAACUGGCCUUUAUUUGACGGUAAUUACUUAGAAAGUCACGGCUAACUACGUGCCAGCAGCCGCGGGAAUACGUAGGUGGAAAGCGUUGUCCGGAUUUAUUGGG
Molecule: ribosomal RNA, 233 nt
Filed under: uncultured bacterium
Lineage: Bacteria
Description: partial 16S ribosomal RNA
Rfam family: Bacterial small subunit ribosomal RNA
Source: RNAcentral